AAAUGAAUUGACGGGGGCCCGCACAAGCAGCGGAGCGUGUGGUUUAAUUCGAGGCUACACGAAGAACCUUACCUGGGCUUGACAUGGCGGUAGUAGCGACCUGAAAGGGGAGCGACCUUCGGGAGCCGUCACAGGUGCUGCAUGGCUGUCGUCAGCUCGUGUCGUGAGAUGUUCGGUUAAGUCCGGUAACGAGCGCAACCCUCGCCGUCAGUUACAAGUGUCUGGCGGGACUGCCCGUUGAACGCGGGAGGAAGGUGGGGAUGACGUCAAGUCAGCAUGGCCUUUAUGUCCAGGGCUACACACACGCUACAAUGGCCGGCACAACGGGUAGCCAACCUGUGAGGGGGAGCCAAUCCAAGAAAGCCGGUCUCAGUUCGGAUUGCAGGCUGCAACCCGCCUGCAUGAAGUCGGAGUUGCUAGUAAACGCGCAUCAGCCAUGGCGCGUUGAAUACGUUCCCGGGCCUUGCACACACCGCCCGU
RNAcentral lists this ribosomal RNA (480 nucleotides) under uncultured bacterium. RNAcentral describes it as "bacterial SSU rRNA". It matches the Rfam family "Bacterial small subunit ribosomal RNA", at positions 903 to 1397 of the family's 1533-position model. The record is from RNAcentral.